This 252-nucleotide ribosomal RNA is filed under the name uncultured bacterium. Its description in RNAcentral is "partial 16S ribosomal RNA". It matches the Rfam family "Bacterial small subunit ribosomal RNA", at positions 524 to 776 of the family's 1533-position model. The record is from RNAcentral.
UACGUAGGGUGCGAGCGUUAAUCGGAAUUACUGGGCGUAAAGCGUGCGCAGGCGGUGAGUUAAGUCUGAUGUGAAAGCCCCGGGCUCAACCUGGGAAUGGCAUUGGAAACUGGCUCGCUGGAGUGUGGCAGAGGGGGGUGGAAUUCCGCGUGUAGCAGUGAAAUGCGUAGAGAUGCGGAGGAACACCGAUGGCGAAGGCAGCCCCUGGGCCAACACUGACGCUCAGGCACGAAAGCGUGGGGAGCAAACAGG